CCUACGGGAGGCAGCAGUGAGGAAUAUUGGUCAAUGGACGCAAGUCUGAACCAGCCAUGCCGCGUGCAGGAUGACGGCUCUAUGAGUUGUAAACUGCUUUUGUACGGGGGUAAACUCAGAUACGCGUAUCUGUCUGAAAGUAUCGUACGAAUAAGGAUCGGCUAACUCCGUGCCAGCAGCCGCGGUAAUACGGAAGGUUCAAGCGUUAUCCGGAUUUAUUGGGUUUAAAGGGUGCGUAGGCGGUCGGAUAAGUUAGACGUGAAAUGCCGAGGCUCAACGUCGGAAUUGCCGCUGAUACUGGUCGGCUAGAGAGUAGUGGCGGUAGGCGGAAUGUAUGGUGUAGCGGUGAAAUGCUUAGAGAUCAUACAGAACACCGAUUGCGAAGGCAGCUUACCAAGCUACUUCUGACGUUGAGGCACGAAAGCGCGGGUAGCAAACAGGAUUAGAUACCCGAGUAGUC
RNAcentral lists this ribosomal RNA (460 nucleotides) under uncultured bacterium. Its description in RNAcentral is "partial 16S ribosomal RNA". It matches the Rfam family "Bacterial small subunit ribosomal RNA", at positions 338 to 795 of the family's 1533-position model. The record is from RNAcentral.